Molecule: long non-coding RNA, 878 nt
Organism: Brassica napus (rape)
Lineage: Eukaryota; Viridiplantae; Streptophyta; Magnoliopsida; Brassicales; Brassicaceae
Exons: 2
Source: RefSeq, a predicted model, not a curated record
GCCUAAAGCCCUGGCUUUAUGAGUUUUAGUUCAGGGCCGGGCCUGAGUGAGGUUCAUGUUUACCCUUCAGAUGUACAAGUUUGGUUGGUGCAACAGAUUAAUUUGGACAAGGAUCAUGAAUUGACCAAAACUUGUAAUUAAUGUUAUGCUUGUUUAGUAAGUAAUGAAUAGAAUGGUUUAAUUUUGGUAUUAUAUCCCACAAAAUCAUAUCCUACCGAUUUUUAAUUUGACCAGAACUCUAAGUUUGCAAUUUGUUUUUGCUGAGAAUAUUAUUAAUGCAAGAUUUACACACAUUAUUGCAAUUAGAUUCUGAAGAUAUAUGUAAAUAUAUUAUUUCUUUGUUAAUAAAUUAUGUUAGGAAUGGAUGUUCACUUCUUCUCUCCAGAGAAUAUUAUAUAAUUAAUGCAAGAUUUACACAAUUAUUGUAUCUGUAUUCUGAAACAAUAUAUCUUUGUUAACAAACUAAUUAAUAAGUAACGUAUAUACAAAUUUAAGCAAGUAUUUAAAGGGAGAUGGUCAUUUGAUCUUAAACCCAAAAAAAACAUCUUCACAAAAGAAAAGUGAUACAAAGAAAGCAAUGUCAGCACAGAAGAUUCAACUUGCUUCUUUGAUCCUAGCUUUUGUUCUUCUAUUUGCUCAAUCAACUGCUAAAUGUCACUAUAGAUUCCCACCCUCUGGCCCUUGUAAGAAAAUGGACGACUGCAAGAACGCGUGCACAAUGCGUGACGAAGAUCCAACUUUUCUAUUGUGCCUUGUGAAUGCCCCAAUGUUUGGCAGAUGCUGUUGUUUAGUAAAACAAAAAUAGUCUUGUUCUACAUCGAUACAUCGAUAUCUUUGUCAUAAGAUUUAAAAUCAAUAAAAAAUAGUGUUUGCCUCUU